RNAcentral lists this ribosomal RNA (254 nucleotides) under uncultured bacterium. Its description in RNAcentral is "partial 16S ribosomal RNA". It matches the Rfam family "Bacterial small subunit ribosomal RNA", at positions 524 to 776 of the family's 1533-position model. The record is from RNAcentral.
UACGGGGGGGGGCAAGCGUUGUUCGGAAUUACUGGGCGUAAAGGGCGCGUAGGCGGCCAUCUAAGUCAGACGUGAAAUCCCUCGGCUCAACCGAGGAACUGCGUCUGAUACUGGAAGGCUUGAAUCCGGGAGAGGGAUGUGGAAUUCCAGGUGUAGCGGUGAAAUGCGUAGAUAUCUGGAGGAACACCGGUGGCGAAGGCGGCAUCCUGGACCGGUAUUGACGCUGAGGAGCGAAAGCAUGGGGAGCGAACAGG